This 160-nucleotide ribosomal RNA is filed under the name Clostridioides difficile. RNAcentral's name for it is "partial 23S ribosomal RNA". It matches the Rfam family "Bacterial large subunit ribosomal RNA", at positions 2763 to 2925 of the family's 2925-position model. Lineage: Bacteria; Bacillati; Bacillota; Clostridia; Peptostreptococcales; Peptostreptococcaceae. The record is from RNAcentral.
GAUAAGCGCUGAAAGCAUCUAAGCGCGAAGCCAACUUCAAGAUAAGAUUUCCCACCGCAAGGGUAAGACCCCAGAAAGACUAUCUGGUUGAUAGGUCGAAGGUGUAAGUGCAGUAAUGUAUUUAGCUUAUCGAUACUAAUAGGUCGAGGACUUGACCAAU